CUUUCUCCUCCUCCUGCACGCGCGUGUGAGUAACCGGAGCGCGGGAGAGCGGCGGGGAAUCGUGAGGACGGCGCCGUGUGUCUGCCGCUCCUAGGGAGCGGGCAGAAAUCCUCGGCUGGGCGCGGGAACCUCGCUGCUCGGGCGGCUUCAGGACUCGCUGCGACACGAACCGGCUCCGGCUCGCACGGAGGGACRGUGCCCUGCGCCAGUGCGCUUGGAUCUUCCCAGGGCCUUAGGAUCUUCCUCACGAGAGCCGUGUGUCUUUAACAUGGGUUUAAAAUGCCUCUCGUGCUUGCAGAGAGGGGAACGAAAAAAAYGGUUAAAUUCAUAAUGUUGGAUGAAUGGAAGCUCGUUUUCCAAGCGGGCUUUCCUUUGGAAGUCCAGGAGCGAGGAUGGCUGUUGGAGAAGGCGGCAGUUCGGCCCUGGCAGAGCUGGUAUCCGAUGGGUCAAUGCUCAUGGGAGUCUGAGCUUGAGUUUGUGUGCAUGGAGAAAGAAACGUGGGACUUUUCACAUUAACUCGCAUCAGAAGUGUGCUUGUUUAUGCGUUUACAGCUUCAAAUUAUCCAUUUGAAAUAAAGGGAAAUUACUGGUGUCUUAAACGAAGUACUUCAUAAGUCUUUGCACUUAAUAUACUGCAACUCUGUACGGCUGUGAGAAGAAUAUUCAUCUUUUUUGUGAGAAGAAUAGUUGUCUGGUCAUGACAUUAUUGCCUGUGUAGAAUUUACACACCCAUAUAUAUGCGGACAUACACAUCUGUGAAUUUAAAGGAAAAUAUGAUUGCAAAAUGGCAAACCUCCAUGGCAAAGCAUUACUUCAGCCUAUUUCUAACUUAUUAUUAACUUAUGUUGAUGGAGUCUUUAUGUGAUUAUAGUAAGAGAAAUGAUGGAUCAUCUCACAUUGUCAGUGGAAGAACUCUGAAAUCCAGAAACAGAUUUUCGUGGAUAUGCUUUACCAUAGUUGAACAGCUUCAGGAAGAAGGCAGGUUCCAUAAACAUAUUCAUCUGUGAUGAAAAGCUAUGAAAAUCUUGGCAUAAGAGCUACCUACCUGAAGAAACAACAGUUUGCCUUUCCAGAGAAGUCCAAUGCCUACAGAGGCAAGACAAGAUUGGAUUAUGUCUUUAAAUGGGAGGUGAAUGUCAAAUUUGCUUUCA
This is a long non-coding RNA of Nothoprocta perdicaria, 1151 nucleotides long. RefSeq lists it as uncharacterized. The transcript is spliced from 4 exons. The record is from RefSeq and is a predicted model, not a curated record. NCBI's taxonomy places the organism in Eukaryota, Metazoa, Chordata, Aves, Tinamiformes, Tinamidae.